CCUACGGGAGGCAGCAGUGGGGAAUUGUUCGCAAUGGGCGCAAGCCUGACGACGCAACGCCGCGUGGAGGAUGAAGGUCUUCGGAUUGUAAACUCCUGUUGAUCGGGACGAAAGGCCCCGGACCCAAUACGUCCGGGGAGUGACGGUACCGGUUGAGGAAGCUCCGGCUAACUCUGUGCCAGCAGCCGCGGUAAU
This 195-nucleotide ribosomal RNA is filed under the name uncultured eubacterium ONG3. RNAcentral's name for it is "partial 16S rRNA". It matches the Rfam family "Bacterial small subunit ribosomal RNA", at positions 338 to 524 of the family's 1533-position model. The record is from RNAcentral.